GCAGGGAUCUUUUUUCAAGGUUUGAUUCUGAGCCAAAGCAUUUUCAGUCUGCCAGUUAAAAAUUAGAUUCUGUAGUGCUUUUUUUUGCAGGUGCACCAGAAAUGUCAGGUUGGAUCUUGGAAGGGAUCUUAAGUGUAUGAGUAUAAUUAUUUUCAGUGCAUUCCUCAAGAGGUGGAAAUUCUUUGUCAUAUAUGUUCCUGAAGAAGAUUGUAACAUACAUACGAUAGGAAUUGGUUUUGGUUUAGGAAAAGGAUUUUUCUGAACCCAUUUAUUUAUCUUUUUAUAACAUGGUUGGGA
Molecule: long non-coding RNA, 297 nt
Filed under: Gossypium barbadense (sea-island cotton)
Lineage: Eukaryota; Viridiplantae; Streptophyta; Magnoliopsida; Malvales; Malvaceae
Description: long non-coding RNA (GBAR_LNC013352)
Source: RNAcentral